Molecule: ribosomal RNA, 484 nt
Filed under: uncultured bacterium
Lineage: Bacteria
Description: bacterial SSU rRNA
Rfam family: Bacterial small subunit ribosomal RNA
Source: RNAcentral
GAUGAACGCUAGCGACAGGCCUAACACAUGCAAGUCGAGGGGCAGCACAAAGUAGCAAUACUUGGUGGCGACCGGCGCACGGGUGAGUAACACGUAUGCAACCUACCUGUAAGCGGGGAAUAACCCGGAGAAAUUCGGACUAACACCGCAUAAUACUGAAUUACUGCAUGGUUUUUCAGUUAAAUAUUUAUAGCUUACAGAUGGGCAUGCGUAUGAUUAGAUAGUUGGUAGGGUAACGGCCUACCAAGUCAACGAUCAUUAGGGGUUCUGAGAGGAAGGUCCCCCACACUGGUACUGAGACACGGACCAGACUCCUACGGGAGGCAGCAGUGAGGAAUAUUGGUCAAUGGGCGAGAGCCUGAACCAGCCAAGUCGCGUGAAGGAAGAAGGUUCUAUGGAUUGUAAACUUCUUUUGUAAGGGAAUAAAAAGAGUACGUGUACUCUAUUGUAUGUACUUUACGAAUAAGGAUCGGCUAACUCCGUG